UACGUAGGUGGCGAGCGUUGUCCGGAAUUACUGGGUGUAAAGGGCGAGUAGGCGGAUAAUCAAGUCAGUAGUGAAAUACCACGGCUCAACUGUGGGGCCGCUAUUGAAACUGAAUAUCUUGAGUGAUGGAGAGGCAGAUGGAAUUCCCAGUGUAGCGGUGAAAUGCGUAGAGAUUGGGAGGAACACCAGUGGCGAAGGCGGUCUGCUGGACAUUAACUGACGCUGAGGAGCGAAAGCGUGGGGAGCAAAC
RNAcentral lists this ribosomal RNA (250 nucleotides) under uncultured prokaryote. RNAcentral's name for it is "partial 16S ribosomal RNA". It matches the Rfam family "Bacterial small subunit ribosomal RNA", at positions 524 to 773 of the family's 1533-position model. The record is from RNAcentral.